UACGAAGGGGGCUAGCGUUGUUCGGAAUCACUGGGCGUAAAGGGCGCGUAGGCGGCCGAUCAAGUCGGGGGUGAAAGCCUGUGGCUCAACCACAGAAUUGCCUUCGAUACUGUUUGGCUUGAGACCGGAAGAGGUUAGUGGAACUGCGAGUGUAGAGGUGAAAUUCGUAGAUAUUCGCAAGAACACCAGUGGCGAAGGCGGCUCACUGGCCCGGUACUGACGCUGAGGCACGAAAGCGUGGGGAGCAAACAGG
This 253-nucleotide ribosomal RNA is filed under the name uncultured bacterium. RNAcentral describes it as "partial 16S ribosomal RNA". It matches the Rfam family "Bacterial small subunit ribosomal RNA", at positions 524 to 776 of the family's 1533-position model. The record is from RNAcentral.